Molecule: long non-coding RNA, 895 nt
Organism: Ylistrum balloti
Lineage: Eukaryota; Metazoa; Mollusca; Bivalvia; Pectinida; Pectinidae
Exons: 3
Source: RefSeq, a predicted model, not a curated record
UGAUUCCAAAGUGUCCACAGACCAAAUUUAGGUCACAAGUGAAGAAGAAUGUGAAAAGAUCCACAAUCAAGCAAUCCAAAGUUGAUCUCUUGCUCUGGCUGGAAUAUCUGCUCAUGAUGCAAAGACUAGCAAAUGCAGCACAGGAUGCAGCAAAGGAAGAUAAAGUCCCCACAGUUUCUGCUGUACACAUACAAAAAGUCAAGAAGGAGGUGAUGAAGUCAUUAAAGGGUUGAAGAUCAUCAGAGGAAUGGAUGAAGAUGAUGAAGAGAAAAAAAAGCAGCCCUCUUUUUGAAGAUGUAUUGAAUCAUCUGUGAAAGGAUAUACUUCAAAGAUGCAGAACAUGUACACUGACUUUUAUGGAUGUUCUGGCAGCUCUACAAUGGAAGUUUUUCAUGUCAACUUCAUAUUGUAUUGUUAGAUUCUUGGUUUAAUCAUGAACAGUCACAUUGUAUUAUGAAGAAUCUGAUUGUACAAAUCAAUUGUUGCUGAGACUAAAUUAAUCUGGAUUCUUUUUAAACACAAAAUUUUAUACUUUUUCUGAAUGCAAUAUAUUGAAGCAGAUACUGACAUUUCAUUUAGAAAGGAUUGUGUACAUUAUAAGUACUUUUAUUGAUAUGACAAUAACUUGGUGUUUAUGUGUCGAUUAUGUGAUCUACAGUAUAUAAACCAUUGGUGACAUAUUUACUUAUUUACUGUAAAUAGUAACGAAUGUUGUUAACAUGUUAGAGAGAUGAUGAUAAUCUUACUUAUAUAUAAUCAAAGAUGGUCUGUUUAUGAAACUUAUUUAUUCUCUGUUGGAUGUGGUAAAGAAGAUUUUUCUGGUUUUGUUGUUUCUUUUAAGUGGCAAAAUAUUUCGACAUUAUGAAUAAAAUGUUUUAAGAAAUAUUGGGUCCAA